GGAAGAGGCUUCGGAUCCCGACCCAAAAUAUAUCCAAAGUCUAUGUGGAAGAGUUUGCCUGGAUGUUGACAAGAAACUCAUUUGUUUCCAGAAUUAUCUUAAAGAACUGGGAUGCCAUACAGAAAACAGAAGGCUCUUCUAGAUGAAGAGAAGGCCUGCCAUUAAAUCACUUACAGAGGAAUGAAUACAUGUGAAAUGUUGGAAAAAAGGGGAGAGAUAAGAUAUAAUGUGAAUUUAACUGUCCAAUAGAUCACAGAAAACAUAGACUUGAAGGUCUGAGAAAAACAGAAGAGAAAUGGGGCAAAAUAAAGAAGAAAAACAAGAAAGGAGCAAGGGAAGAGAGAGAAAUACAGAGUUAAGAGGACAAGG
Molecule: long non-coding RNA, 369 nt
Organism: Gorilla gorilla gorilla (western lowland gorilla)
Lineage: Eukaryota; Metazoa; Chordata; Mammalia; Primates; Hominidae
Exons: 3
Source: RefSeq, a predicted model, not a curated record